This 249-nucleotide ribosomal RNA is filed under the name uncultured bacterium. RNAcentral describes it as "partial 16S ribosomal RNA". It matches the Rfam family "Bacterial small subunit ribosomal RNA", at positions 8 to 252 of the family's 1533-position model. The record is from RNAcentral.
AGAGUUUGAUCCUGGCUCAGGAUGAACGCUAGCGGCAGGCCUAACACAUGCAAGUCGAGGGGCAGCACGGUGUAGCAAUACACUGGUGGCGACCGCGCACGGGUGCGUAACGCGUAUGCAACCUACCCAUAACAGGGGGGAUAACACUGAGAAAUUGGUACUAAUACCCCAUAACAUCAGGUUACCGGCAUCGGUUCUGGUUGAAAACUCCGGUGGUUAUGAUGGGCAUGCGUUGUAUUAGCUGGUUGG